Long non-coding RNA from Miniopterus natalensis, 675 nucleotides. RefSeq lists it as uncharacterized. NCBI's taxonomy places the organism in Eukaryota, Metazoa, Chordata, Mammalia, Chiroptera, Miniopteridae. The record is from RefSeq and is a predicted model, not a curated record.
GCAAAGGUCUUUUGUGGGGAGAAGAGGGUCCAUAGCAUCAUCAUCAAAGGGGACAGUGUUCCGUAAAAGUUUGAGAACCACCGCUCCAAGAAUUUUGACAUCUUUAUCAAAUUAAUGCCAGUGCAGGAAGAACAUUUUCUUUGACUUUUAGGUGCUUUUAUACUCAUCUCGGAAAGAAAAAAUUCUGAACUCAGGAUUUAGCAAGUAUUUCUGUGUUGUCUCCUGGAUUGGGGAGUCCUGCUUCUUCUAUCCAACCACUUUCCCUAACCUUGAAAUGUGGAUCUCCCUCCUCUACACUUUACCUCCAUGAUUUGGAUUGGAAAAGGCUGCUUUUCCUUUUUUUCCCACCUUUCAAAUUCAACACAGAGAAGCUCCUAGGAUAAUCAUCCUGCCAACUUCUCCAGGAAAAAAGAAGCAACUGACAUGUUUCUUACCAAUUGCUUACCUGUAAAGAGAUUAUUUUGCAAGCUGAAGGGUGAUGUUUAAUUUAAAACUGGUGCUUAGAUGAUGGUAUUUGUGAAUUCUUUACCUUUUGUUCCCAAUAAGAAGACUAUAAAAAUAGCAAGUAUGGGUGUGACAUCAGGGGUUUUUUUUAAUGUCUUCCAGUUUUAACCACUAUCAUAAGUACAGUCAAGACUACAGCAGUAAAUUCCAGAUAUGUGUUGUACUUUGAAA